Molecule: ribosomal RNA, 406 nt
Filed under: Bacillota bacterium
Lineage: Bacteria; Bacillati; Bacillota
Description: Firmicutes bacterium partial 16S ribosomal RNA
Rfam family: Bacterial small subunit ribosomal RNA
Source: RNAcentral
CUAAGAAUCUUGCGCAAUGGGCGAAAGCCUGACGCAGCAAUUCGGCGUGGGGGACGAAGGCCCUUGGGUCGUAAACCCCUUUUGCGAGGGAAGAAGUUCUUACGGUACCUCGCGAAUAAGACACGGCUAACUACGUGCCAGCAGCCGCGGUAAUACGUAGGUGUCAAGCGUUGUCCGGAUUUAUUGGGCGUAAAGCGCCCGCAGGCGGCUUGCCAAGUUCGAUGUGAAAUCUCCCGGCUUAACUGGGAGGGUGCAUCGAAAACUGGCAGGCUUGAGGCAGGGAGAGGGAUGUGGAAUUCCAGGUGUAGUGGUGAAAUGCGUAGAUAUCUGGGGGAACACCAGUGGCGAAGGCGGCAUCCUGGCCCUGUCCUGACGCUCAGGGGCGAAAGCGUGGGGAGCAAACCGG